This 445-nucleotide ribosomal RNA is filed under the name uncultured bacterium. RNAcentral's name for it is "bacterial SSU rRNA". It matches the Rfam family "Bacterial small subunit ribosomal RNA", at positions 28 to 456 of the family's 1533-position model. The record is from RNAcentral.
GAUGAACGCUGGCGGCGUGCUUAACACAUGCAAGUCGAACGGGAAACCUUUUAUCGAAGCUUCGGCAGAUUUAGCUGGUUUCUAGUGGCGGACGGGUGAGUAACGCGUGGGUAACCUGCCUUAUACAGGGGGAUAACAACCAGAAAUGGUUGCUAAUACCGCAUAAGCGCACAGGACCGCAUGGUCUGGUGUGAAAAACUCCGGUGGUAUAAGAUGGACCCGCGUUGGAUUAGCUAGUUGGCAGGGUAACGGCCUACCAAGGCGACGAUCCAUAGCCGGCCUGAGAGGGUGAACGGCCACAUUGGGACUGAGACACGGCCCAGACUCCUACGGGAGGCAGCAGUGGGGAAUAUUGCACAAUGGGGGAAACCCUGAUGCAGCGACGCCGCGUGAAGGAAGAAGUAUCUCGGUAUGUAAACUUCUAUCAGCAGGGAAGAUAGUGACG